Molecule: ribosomal RNA, 433 nt
Filed under: uncultured bacterium
Lineage: Bacteria
Description: partial 16S ribosomal RNA
Rfam family: Bacterial small subunit ribosomal RNA
Source: RNAcentral
AACGAACGCUGGCGGCAUGCCUAACACAUGCAAGUCGAACGAGACCUUCGGGUCUAGUGGCGCACGGGUGCGUAACGCGUGGGAACCUGCCCUUAGGUUCGGAAUAACUCCCCGAAAGGGGUGCUAAUACCGGAUAAUGUCUUCGGACCAAAGAUUUAUCGCCUUUGGUUGGGCCCGCGUUGGAUUAGCUAGUUGUUAGGGUAAAAGCUUACCAAGGCGACGAUUCAUAGCUGGUUAGAGAGAAUGAUUAGCCACACUGGGACUAAGACACGGCCCAGAAUCCUACGGAAUGCAGCAAAGGAUAAUAUUGCAAAAUCGGCGAAAUCCUGAACCACCAAUGCCGCUUAAGUUAUGAAAUCCUUAAAGAAGUAAAGCUCUUUUACCCGUGAUGAUAAUGACAGUACCUAAAGAAUAAGCUCCGGCUAACUACGUG